RNAcentral lists this unclassified non-coding RNA (2783 nucleotides) under Centruroides sculpturatus (bark scorpion). RNAcentral describes it as "suppressor of lurcher protein 1-like, transcript variant X5". The record is from RNAcentral. Lineage: Eukaryota; Metazoa; Arthropoda; Arachnida; Scorpiones; Buthidae.
UGAUAACUAGCGAUUCGCCGUGGACAACAGCAUUCUCUCUCACUGUGUCUGCUGGAGCUCAAUGUUCGAAUGAAAUCCAGUGUCUUAUCGAUUGCCCUGGUCUGUCCUGCUGGAAGUAGGGAGUACACAGUGGAGGUCUGUCUUAGACACAUGUAGGCCUGUGUGUGUUGUGGUUAAGGUGGAAUCUACUGGAUUGUACAAGGAUAGACUUAUUGUCGUAAUCCAUCACAAUGGAAGAAUUAUCCUGAUAACGAGGAAGCGAAACCGUCGAUGAAAUGAUUAACGAUGGAGUCUGAGCACGAUAAGUUGGCUGAUUGGAUAUCUCCAUGACAAGGAAGCUUUCCACACUAACACCAUGCUGAAUAUGAAUGAGGUGGUGACAAUGGUGUGGGCUGUUUUAUCUUCCGUCAUUCCAUCCACAGGUCUGGGCGCUGGCUGUGAAUGCAUUACCUACGACAAUACUUACGGUAAAGAAUAUGGUGUGUUUACAUCUCCCAACUGGCCCGUCCCCUACGAAGAUAACACAGAUUGUAUCCUGUAUACCUUUAUAGCUGGAGAAGACGAAAUAGUCGAGAUCACGUUUGACGAAUUUGAUCUACAAAAAACAAAUUUAGAUUGUAUAUAUGGAGAUUACGUGAAGUUAUUUCUUCAUUUGAAAGAAAGUUCCGUUAACGAACAUACACCAUGGAAUUUAGUGAUGUGUGGAAAAUUGGGUGAUAUCGAUCAGACACAUUAUUCAUCAAGUUAUUCGCUUGUUUUUGAAUUCCAUUCUGAUUGGAGGCAAGGAAAUAACACCGGUUUUCGCGGAACUUAUCGAUUUCUUAGCCAAAAAAUGUUUGAAACUCAAGGAAAUUUAAAACCAGGAACUCUUUGUGAUUAUCAGUUCUUCAGUGGCAGUACUAAUCAUUCGAGGGGGAAGUUUUACUCCCCUCAAUAUCCCAGUACCUAUCCGAAAGACAUUAAGUGCACUUAUCGCUUCAUGGCCAGAUAUAACGAACGGGUUAAAGUGAUGUUUGAACACAUCCGAUUGCAAAGAGGUGAUUUGAGUUGUCUGAACAGUCCCGAUGUCAUUAUGGUAUACGAUGGAGAAGACAACAAUUGUCUAGUAAUAGGGGAAUUGUGCAACACAAACACAUUUGUAGAAUAUGUAUCUACGGGUUCGGAUAUGUUUAUAGAGUUUCUCAGCAGAAGUCAUUUCCCAGGACAAGGUUUUAAAGGAGUUUAUACUUUCGAAGAUGAAAGUACCGUAGUUUCUUAUGUCGAUGUGCCAUCCAUUGAAUCAGUAAGAAGAACUUUGGAGUAUCACACGACAACAGUACUACCAGCAACCAGCUGUGAUCAACGUAUAACCAGUGACGUUACUAAAAAUGGAACCUUUACUAGUCCCAACUAUCCCGAGCCAUAUCCAAUGCACAUCCACUGCACUUAUCACUUUAUGGGAAGAGGAAAAGAAAGAGUACAGAUUUUUUUUACGGAUUUCGAUUUACAUAUGUCCCAUGAACCAUCAAAAGAUUGCGAUUCAGUUGAUGCAGUUAUGGUCUUUAUAACAAUUAAUGGACAAAAAGAAAGAGUAGAUAAUUUCUGUGGUAAGGAUCUUCCUGCCCAGUUGAUGUCUAAUGGAGCUUCGAUGAUUGUAGAAUUUCGAUCCAUACAUUCGUCUCCGGAUGUAAAAGGAUUUAGAGCAAUAUACAGAUUUGUAACAAAUUUCGGAAUAACAGGUUUCAAACAAGAUUCGCAAUCUGUGUGUGGUUUCAUCUUUAAUAGUACAGAACGCUCUAACGGUACGUUUACAACUCCUAAUUGGCCAGGAUACUACCCUAGAGACACUGAAUGCCAUUAUUUCUUUUAUGGGCAAGCGAAAGAAAAAGUUCAUAUUACUUUUGCGUAUUUUGACGUGGAUGGCAUACCUCCAUGCACUACCGAUUCAGCCAGCGAUUACGUGGAAUUUUCCAAUUUUAAAACCGUGGAUAGAAAAUUGGCAAGACAUUGCGGUCAUAAAAAACCAAAAGUGAUCGAUUCUGAUGGAGAUUUCUUUCGCGUCACUUUUAAAUCCAAUGAUAAAUUCGAUGGUACAGGAUUUGAGGCUUUUUACCAGUUUAGAACACAUAUGGACCCGUUUACAGUGAAAAGAGUUUCCACUUCUAACGGAAAUCACGGCCUUGUGCUGAUUCGACUGCAUUUUAUCAGAUGACAUACGGAACCAAGUUAAUCGAACUUUCGACAAACAACAGGAUAAUCUUAUCUUAAGCACAAAAAUAAAAAUUGUGUAUUUAUCGGAAACAUACAAAAUGAAACUGCCUUAAUACAGAAAAUAGUUUUAACACCUUUUAAUCUUUCACCAUCUACAAUUUUAUAUGUAUUAUGAAACAGUAUUUUUGUUUUAUUACAUUAUGGACAUAAUUUAUCUAUAAGGAUAUGUAUCUAAAUACAAUUUCUAUAUAUAAACUAACUAUUGUAAAUGUAUUGAUUUUACUUACUGUUUAAAAAUAAUUUACAGUUACAUAACUGAUGGGAAUAAAUGGAAAGUAACAAAAAAAAAAUUUUUUAUUGAAAAUAUAAAAAAGCAUUACUUCAUAAAUAUCAGUAAUUUGUGGGUAAAUUUAUUAACCAAUGUUUCAGAAAUUUAAGUGUAUGUAUAUGUGUGUAUGUAUAUAUAUAUGCCAAGUUUCACACUGAGGACAUUUAUGACAACCACCUUCAAAUUUAACAUGUAAUUGUUGUAGAAAUUUUAGUGAUUACAAGACUAAAAAUUUUUAGUGCUAUUUAUGAAUUAAUUUAAUCUC